GAAUCAAGAAAUACAAAAAAAAGCUUCUAACUUUAUUUUUAAGCGGUGUAACUCCGUUUUUGAUUCU
Molecule: transfer RNA, 67 nt
Filed under: Larinus turbinatus
Lineage: Eukaryota; Metazoa; Arthropoda; Insecta; Coleoptera; Curculionidae
Description: tRNA-Ser
Source: RNAcentral